This 429-nucleotide ribosomal RNA is filed under the name Chloroflexota bacterium. RNAcentral's name for it is "Chloroflexi bacterium partial 16S ribosomal RNA". It matches the Rfam family "Bacterial small subunit ribosomal RNA", at positions 355 to 776 of the family's 1533-position model. Lineage: Bacteria; Bacillati; Chloroflexota. The record is from RNAcentral.
UGGGGAAUAUUGCACAAUGGGCGCAAGCCUGAUGCAGCCAUGCCGCGUGUAUGAAGAAGGCCUUCGGGUUGUAAAGUACUUUCAGUCGGGAGGAAGGUGUCAAGGUUAAUAACCUUGGCAAUUGACGUUACCGACAGAAGAAGCACCGGCUAACUCCGUGCCAGCAGCCGCGGUAAUACGGAGGGUGCAAGCGUUAAUCGGAAUUACUGGGCGUAAAGCGCACGCAGGCGGUUGAUUGAGUCAGAUGUGAAAUCCCCGGGCUUAACCUGGGAACUGCAUCUGAUACUGGCAAGCUUGAGUCUCGUAGAGGGGGGUAGAAUUCCAGGUGUAGCGGUGAAAUGCGUAGAGAUCUGGAGGAAUACCGGUGGCGAAGGCGGCCCCCUGGACGAAGACUGACGCUCAGGUGCGAAAGCGUGGGGAGCAAACAGG